RNAcentral lists this long non-coding RNA (9761 nucleotides) under Triticum aestivum (bread wheat). RNAcentral describes it as "long non-coding RNA (TAES_LNC006936)". Lineage: Eukaryota; Viridiplantae; Streptophyta; Magnoliopsida; Poales; Poaceae. The record is from RNAcentral.
GGACGUUUCACAGUCAGAAUGCCUGUAGGGUUAAGGCAGAUGGCAUGGGUUCUACUUAUCGACGAAGAUUUCCGCUGCUUGUGUUUCAUUUGAUGUUCAGCCCUUAAGGCUUUAUCAAUGUAAGACUUGACCAUAAUGGUCAUAAUUUGUGUAAGACGGUAUGUAUGGAUGUAAGACUCUUGUUAUUCAGCUUCUGUGUGUUCAGUGAGCAUUGAUCUCUGGGAUCACUGUACACGUGCAUUCGGUGAUCUCGACUUAUGAGUCGGGGUCCCCUCAGAGCUGGUAUCAGAGCCAUCCUGACUGUAGGAAGCCUUAGUUAGCAUGGACGUUAGUUAGCUUGAGACCAUCUAAACUUCUCUUCUUUUCUAAAGCUUACCCAACCCAAGGUAUAUUUCCCUUAUUGACCCCUCCCAUUAAACCUUUGUAGAUGGUUGCCGUACCCGAAGACUUCCUGACCACCGGAUUUCCCAUGCUUCUCGAGGAUAGCCUCAAGAAGUGCCAGUUUUACCGAGCCCCCAUUUUCACCUACCAUGAGAAUUGGAUCAAUGACACCGAGAUGGUGUAUCAUGUGAAAGUGAUCGUGAAGGCCAAUGACUCUCCAACAAGCUGGUUCUUCGAGGGACCCCAGAUGGCAACACUAGUUCCUGCCGUCGAGACAGCAACCCUCAAGGCACUCACCCGCCUCCGAGACCUUCUUCCAGAGAUGGCAGACGAGUUGGCAACCCGCUUCUUGCCUUAUCGAAAGGAAGGUGAGGAUGAGAGCAGUGCACCAGCUCCACCAUUAGAAGAAGGACUUCCACUCCGAUUCCAGACCUACUUCAGCCUUUGUGCCGAUAGUUUGGCACAACACUUGGCCUCGGAAUCAAUGGAGCUUCGAAAGGAACUUCAUGAGACCAAGGCACUUCUUCUCCAAGCUCAAGUGAAGACGGAUAGGAUCAAGAAGGAAGGUGCUCCCCCUGGACAGCCCGCAAUCGCAUACAGAGGUGGAAGACCCCCAAAGGAUGGAGAACCACCACAGCAACACCGCAUGAGCACAAGGGAAUACCGCAAGCUCUUCGCACCACCAGCAAAGCAACGCCGUGUUGAGCUCCUCAACUCCCCCACCCCUUCAAGUGAAGAGGAAAGUCAGGAUGCUGAUGAUGAGGAGGAAGACCCAGAAGAGCCAGACUACGCGACCGAGCAUUCCACCACUUAGGCAUCAUUCGCACCUUGAAUAUGCCCGUUAGUAACCCCUACGGUAGGAUAGGUCGUGUACCCCUAUGCGAAGUCGAGUCCUUGUAAUGGUUCAUAUGAAACCAUGUAGUGUGUGCUUUUGAUGUGUUUGAUGGAUGUCGUGCUUUUCUUCGGGAACUUGUAAGCGACUACAUCACCCAUUUGGACUUUAAUGAAUGUGUUUGGCCCUUUUGGCCCUUGCAUGAAACAAUUAGUGUCAUACCAACCCCCUUACUAGGCGUCCCAUCUAUAUUGCUUUCCCCAUCUUUUCCCAAUCAUGAGACCUUGACCACUCCAACAGGAUGCCUGUUGUAACACGUACUGGUACCUCUACCCAGCAGCAAGAAGCCGGAGGUUCUGCUGAAGCAGGAGUCAGCCAGGACCAAGCCCAAGGACACACUCCACCCCCACCACCUCCUCCAAGCAUGGACAUGGCUCAGCUUCUCCAAGCCUUCCGAGAGGAAUGCCAAGCCAACACUGCAGCCCUUCAGGUGAUUGCUCAAGCUGUCAAUUGCCAGCCGGCGGGACACGGCAAUGGACGGUCCAUGUUGGUGGAGUUCAAGAAGCAUGCACCACCCACCUUCAUCGAGACUGCUGAACCCUUGGAUGCAGACGACGGGGUCCACACCAUUGAGGACUUGUUGGAACUAGUCGGCUGCACUGAAGACCGUGAGAGGGUGGCAUAUGCUGCCCACUGUCUCGGGGGAACUGCCAGAGCUUGGUGGGAUGGAUUCAAGGCCAUGCAUGCUGAGCAAAACAUCACUUGGAAUGACUUCAAGGCAGAAUUCCGCAAGGCCCAUAUUCCUUCUGGAAUCAUGGCCAUCAAGAAACGUGAGUUCCGAGCCCUGAAGCAAGGAAGUAGCACUGUCAAGGAGUACAUGCAGAAGUUCAGUGUUCUCUCAAGGUAUGCCCCUGAGGAUGUCAGCACUGAUGCUGCCAAAAAGGAGCGCUUCAUGGAAGGCCUUAACCAGACUCUGCAGUACUCGCUUGUUGUGUGUGACUGCCCGACCUUUCCUGAUCUGGUGAACAAGGCACUCAUGCUUGAGGACAAGCGACGUGCUUUGGAUGAUACCCAUAAGCGCAAGAUGAUCAGCAAGGGUAGCUCCAGCAACCAGAAGCCUCGCCCGUGGCAGCCAGCCCCGGUCAAGCUAACCUAUCAGCAGCCAAGAGCUCCUGCACCCUGCACCAACUAUCCACCUCAGUAGUAUGCCAACCCCAGGCCAGGUUACAACAACCCCAAUAACAAUGCUGGCAGAAGCAGCAACCCCAACCAAGUCACUUGCUUUGGAUGUGGUCAACCAGGACACUACUCCAAGUAUUGCCCCAACAAGAAGCCUGACACCCCGCGCCCCAAUGCGCAGAACCUAGGACAAGGCCGUGGAAUGCCACCAAGGAACCAAGCUCCCCGCAACCUGCCCAACAACGGCAAGGGUCGUGUGAAUCAUGUCACUGGAGAAGAAGCCCAGGAAGACCCGGACGUCGUGCUGGGUACGUUCCUUGUCAAUUCAGCACCUGCAACUGUCUUGUUUGAUUCUGGAGCCACGCAUUCAUUUGUCACCCAAAAGUUUGCAUUAAAAAGUGGCAUGACCCCUACACCCCUGAGAAACCCUAUGGUGGUACAAAUCCCCGGAGCAGAGAUGAGAGCCAAGAUAGGAUGUAAAGGAGUCCGGAUUAUCAUUAACGGGGUAGACUUCCUAGCAGACCUUAUCAUCUUAGGAUCACAAGGCUUGGAUGUGAUCUUAGGAAUGAAUUGGCUCAUCAAGCACCAAGGCUUGUUAGAUUGCGCCAACCGGACUGUCACUGUGACCAAUGAGCAAGGAGUCGAAGUCAAAAUUGCCUCCAACCCCUCCUCUGCUCAAGCCAACCAAGUCAACUGUCUGACUGAAGUUGGAUUGGAGCAAGUGCCGGUAGUACGCGAAUACCCUAAUGUUUUUCCUGAUGAGCUACCGGGAAUGCCUCCUGACCGAGACAUUGAGUUCAUCAUCGAGCUCAUGCCCGGAGCAGGACCCAUCUAUAAGAAGCCUUAUAGAAUGGGAUCGGAGGAGUUGGCAGAAUUGAAGAAGCAACUGGAAGAGCAGUUGAGAAAGGGAUUUAUUUGCCCUAGUGCCUCCCCUUGGGGAUCACCUGUUCUGUUUGUGGCAAAGAAGGACGGUACCAUCCGCUUGUGCAUUGACUACCGCUCCCUCAAUGAAGUUACAAUCAAGAACAAGUAUCCACUUCCCAAGAUUGAAGAUCUGUUUGAUCAACUCAAUGGGGCCAGGGUGUUCUCCAAGAUCGACCUCAGAUCUGGGUACUACCAGCUGAAAAUCAGACCCCAAGAUAUUCCGAAGACGGCGUUUGUAACCAGAUAUGGCUUGUAUGAGUGCACGGUCAUGUCCUUUGGAUUGACCAAUGCCCCAGCUUACUUCAUGUAUCUCAUGAAUAAGGUCUUCAUGGAAUAUUUGGACAAGUUUGUCGUUGUCUUCAUUGAUGACAUUCUUGUCUUCUCGAAGACGGAAGAAGAGCACGAGCAACACUUGAGGAUGGUCCUAGACAAGCUUCGAGAGCACCAACUGUACGCCAAGUUCAGCAAGUGCGAAUUUUGGCUGCGUGAAGUUGGAUUCUUGGGUCAUGUUUUGACCGAAGAAGGAUUGUCGGUCGAUCCCGCUAAGAUUGAAGCCAUGACUGAAUGGCAAUCCCCAAGCAAUGUGAAGGAAGUCAGAAGCUUCCUCAGACUCGCGGGAUAUUACCGCAAGUUCGUUGAAGGAUUCUCAAGCAUUGCCCGACCCAUGACUCAGCUCUUGAAGAAGGACAAGAAGUUUGAAUGGACGCCGAAGUGCGAAGAGAGCUUCCAGGAGCUGAAGAGGAGACUGACCACCGCCCCAGUUCUGGCCACACCAGAUAUACACAAGGAGUUUGUGAUAUAUUGUGAUGCAUCAAGAACCGGACUGGGAGGUGUUCUGAUGGAAGAAGGCGGAGUCGUAGCUUACCUUUCAAGGCAACUACGGCCUCAUGAAGAGAACUAUGCUACUCAUGAUCUUGAGUUAGCACCAGUGGUUCAUGCCCUGAAGACAUGGCGACAUUACCUCCUAGGGAAGCGGUGUGAGAUAUACACGGAUCACAAAAGUCUGAAGUAUAUUUUCACUCAAAAGGAAUUGAACAUGAGGCAAAGAAGAUGGCUAGAGUUGAUCAAGGAUUAUGACCUCAGUGUUCAAUACCACCCUGGGAAGGCUAAUGUGGUAGUUGAUGCAUUAAGCAGGAAGGCUUGUUCCUUGAAUGCUAUGCUUAAGAACAAGCUACCCGCCUUGUAUGAAGAACUUGAAAGCUUCGGGUUGGAACUGGUUGCACCAGGAUUCUUGGCCAACCUCGAAGUUAGGCCUACCUUGAUGGAUGAUAUUAAAGAAGCUCAGAAGGGACAUGAAAGUAUUGAAGGCAUCAAGAGGAAGAUCAAGGCAGGCAAGGCCCCAGGAUUCUCAGAGGAUGAGAAAGGAAUUGUGUGGUUUGGGAAUCGCAUUUGCGUACCCAACAAGGUUGAGCUCAAGAAUCUGAUCUUGCAAGAAGCUCAUGACACCCCGUAUUCCAUCCAUCCUGGAGGAACCAAGAUGUAUCAAGACCUGAAGGAAAGAUUUUGGUGGCACGGGAUGAAAAGGGAGAUUGCCACCUAUGUCGCAAAGUGUGAUGUAUGCCAAAGAGUCAAGGCUGAAUAUCAGCGACCUGCUGGAUUGCUCCAACCACUCAAGGUUCCCGAGUGGAAAUGGGAUAAAGUCGGAAUGGAUUUCAUCACUGGACUACCUAGGUCAAACAAGGGACAUGACUCCAUCUGGGUCAUAGUCGAUCAUUUGACCAAAGUAGCCCAUUUCAUUCCUGUUAAGACUACCCAUGAUGGCAACCAGCUAGCAACUCUAUACAUCAACAGGAUUGUGAGCCUUCAUGGUGUUCCCAAGGAGAUUGUGUCAGAUCGAGGAACCCAAUUUACCUCAAGGUUCUGGAAGAAGUUCCAAGAGGCCAUGGGGACCAAGUUGUCCUUCAGCACUGCUUUCCACCCACAGACUGGAGGUCACACAGAACGAGUAAAUCAGAUACUCGAAGACAUGCUCCGAACAUGUGUCUUAGCAUAUGGAGCUAGGUGGGAAGAUUGCCUCCCCUUCGCCGAGUUCUCUUACAACAACAGUUAUCAGUCAAGCCUUCAGAUGGCACCAUUUGAGGUGUUAUACAGACGGAAGUGCCGCACACCCCUCAAUUGGUCAGAGACUAGAGAAGGACUUGUCUUUGGGCCCGAUAUCCUCCGUGAAGCAGAAGAGAAAGUCCAGCUUGUCAGAGAGCAUUUGAAGACUGCCAAGUCAAGGCAGAAGAGCUACGCUGACUCACGUCAUAGAGACGUAAACUUCUGAGUUGGAGACCAUGUCUACCUCCGGGUCACACCUCUCAACGGAACCCAGUGCUUCCAUGUCAAAGGAAAGCUCUCCCCAAGAUACAUCGGCCCCUUCAAGAUCACUGACCGACAAGGGGAAGUGGCUUACCAGUUGGAACUGCCACAUGAACUAUCCGAUGUGCACAAUGUAUUCCAUGUGUCACAACUCCGGAAGUGUCUCCAAGUUCCAGAAAAGCCUGAUCUUUACAAGGACGUCAAUCACCAAGCCAUUGACCUUCAGCCUGAUUUGACUUACCGUGAGAGACCUAUCUGCAUUCUGGAUGAGGCUGAGCGACACACUCGAAGCCGCACCAUCAAGUAUUUCAAGGUCUAGUGGAGCAACCACACUGAAGCUGAAGCAACUUGGGAGCGUGAAGACUACCUUAGAUCCGAGUUUCCGUACCUCUUUAAAGCCUAGUCUAGGAAUCUCGGGGACGAGAUUCUUGUAAGGGGGGUAGGUCUGUCACACCCUGCAUUUUGUAACAUUUCAUUUGCAUUAUUAAAGCAUGAAAAUUUGGACCAACAAAAACUUUUGCAUUAUUUGGCUUUUAUUUGGAGUUGGUUUUCUCUCUGUGAUUCUUUUCAAGUGCUCUUUAAAGUCAACUACUCCACCUUCUGUACUUCAUCUCCUUGCCCCAAACUUCUGCCCAAUGACCAUGCCAUGUGUACAGUGCAACAUAGUAUUUUCUUACAAAAAUAAUUUGGCCAAAAAGUAUUUUCAAAAAUUAGUUUUCCAAAAACCCCUAAAUUGAGGUUUGCACUGCAAGUACUUGAUUUGGGGUAUGAAAAAUAUUUCAAAAAGUAUAUUUGAGACCUAUUAGAUAUAGGACUCCCAUAAACCACAAAAAUAUAAUUUUAAAAACUAUUUUCCUAUUUUAUUUAAAAGCUUUUUCUUAAGGCCAAAAAUGGUCUUUAAUAGGAAAAAAUUAUUUUAUUGUUUCAAAAAAAUUUGACAAAAAUCAGGGAAACUCAGUGGACAUAUAUUUUCCAUAUAUAAGAGUUUCAACACAUGGUCAUGUUCGAAAUAUUGGACAAAACCUCCCAAAACCAUUUCUGCCCAUUUCAAGGAUUUGAAAUAUUUAUACAGGAAAUAUAUUCACAAAAAUCCAAGAAAAAUCCAGCAAGUCACAAAUGCAUAUUGUGAUCACCUUGCAAAGCGUCAUGUCAAUUAAAGUCAUUUUGGUUCACCAAAAUUCCCCAAAACCCUCUCUGACCAGAUUCAAAUUUGAACAACUUUGUGCUACCAACUUUCUCUCCUUGACCCCAACUUUGGUGAGCAUGUUCACAUGACAAAAUGAGGCCACUAAAGCAAGUGGUGCAUCAAGGAGAAGUGAUUUUCUCAACUAGAUCUACACAAGUCUAUUUCUGCUCAUUUCUAGGGUUUACAAAAGUUGCAUUGGCAACUUUGCCCAAAUAAGCUCUAAAUUGGUGGAAGGCCAUAUUUAUAUGUGUCAUUUCACCCUGUGGAGUCUCAUGGCAUUUGGAGUUCAUUUGCUUAACCAAACAAGCAUCAAACACCUUUUGCCACUUUACCAAAAUUCCAUUUUUGACCACUUCCACUAAUCUCCAUGACCUCCACUUUUUACCACAGAUCCUCCUAGACCCCUUUCACCUCCAGUAAAAAUGGCAAAUCCACAGCUCACUUAUUGGAGGGGUAAAAUCUCUCUCUCCCUCUCUGGACAGCCACUUUCUCUCUCUAUCUCACCUGACGUGGUCGACGUCCAGGAACACCCCAGACACCACGCCUGCUUCCCCCGAGCCCUGCAGCGACAAGCGUGAGCUCGCCGGCGCACGGGUCUACUGGACCUUGCCGUUUGCCUAUUUAAAGGCCUCCCCGAGCCCUUCUCUCCUCACCACUCGCUCUCUGCACCACCAAACCCUCCCCCUGCACCCCCAGUUCCUCUCCAGAGCCGCCUGAGCUUGAGAUCGAGCUCGAGCUCCACCGUUUCGGCUCGCCAGAGUUCGCGAGGUAUAGGCCUCCCCCGCUCCUCCUCUGCCUCGAUCUGGAAUCCCUGCAUUCCCCUGACCCUUUUCCCCUUGUUUCCCCUCUCUAUAGCUGUUGCAAACGGCCAGAGCCACCGCCUCCCGAAGCUCCUCCGUCGCAGCUUCUCGUCGCCGGCGAACCAGGCACCCCCGCCGGCCAAGCCCACCAGCCACCGAUGUGCGGCAGUCUCCUGAAGCCAUCCCCGCACUCGCCGGAGCUCGCCGUGGCCUGCAUCGUCGCCGGUGAGCACCGCGUCCCCCCUGUCCAUGGGUUAGUGAUGACAUAUGUCCAAAUAAAUUAAUUCCAAAUCCUAAAUUUCUAGAAUAUUGCAACCUAUUUAAUGGUGCAACUUUCAUUCAAAUCCAGCAACCUUUUCUUCACUGUAAAUAUUUAAAUGUGAUUUUAAGCAUUUAAAUAUGCCCUUGUAAAUCCAUUUCUCCUAUUCUGCUACACCAAAUCCAAAACUAGGAAUUUUCCCCUUCUUAUUUUUCAACCUAGUAUUUUACAAAAAUGAGUUGACAUUUUUCUGAGCACUUUGGUUUUCUGUUUUAUUAUUGCCUUAUUUUUCUCUCGUUAUUAUUCUGCGACGAUAGAUUGCGUUGCUGACGAAGGAGUUGGACCAGAAGACUUUGAAGACCCAGAAGACUUUGUUGAGCCAGGCAAGCAGCCCUUUGACCAUGUCUAUGAAACCCUUUUUAUGCAUGUCAUAUAGCACCAUAUUGUUGUUGCAACGGAAUCAUGAUGAGGUGGUACCCACGUUGAUGGUUUGCCACCGUUAAUUCCUUGUUGAUACAUGCAUUGUGCAUGAACCUACCUUCUUAUGAGGGUUAUGCUGGUGGGAGUAGAUAGGAUGCUAAAGUAGAUGCUAUGCAAAAAGGGACGGGUAUAUGCAUGGUGAAGGAGGCAAAGUAUUUUCAAAGGACUUUUCGAAAACCCCAUCGGGUGCCACUUAUGCCCGAGGGAGAUGAUGAGAUGGGUAACCACUUGAUGACGAAGUGGUGUACCGAGGCAAGUGUGUGUGUUGUUUUCGAAAACGGAUUAGAUUUAAGAUUUGAUGACUGUCCCAACCUUACAUGCGCAACUACUCUACCCUUAUAUGGGAAAGGGCAUUAUUGAGUACCUAGACCGAUACUAGCUUGGAGCCCGCAUUACUAGUGACGGGAGAGUUGUUGGUGCGCUCUCUCGGGACGGGGUCGUGCCAGGUAGGGCAGCCAAGAACAUUUUUAUGGGGCACCGGACACACUGUUGGUACCCCGUGCUUGUGAUGUGAGAUGAUUAUGGAGCGUGGCUCCACGAAAAUGUUAUGUGACAAUGUUGAGCACGGGGGUUACUACCAAUCGAGUGGACUCCAUGUUAGUGUCGUCUAGGGAAAGGUAGUGAUCGGGUGCUUACCCCGGGUACUUGAGGUAUCGCGGGUCGUGGAUGACACAGAAGUUCCCCGGAUCUUGUGGGUACAGUGUGCAACCUCUGCAGAGUGUAAAACUAUUCGAAUAGCCGUGUCCACGGUCAAGGACGGUUGGGCGAUGCUACUUAAACUAUGUCCAGAGUUUACAAACUAGUGUGUGUGUUUGGAUAACUACUUGGGUCAAGUCAAAGGACUUGACGUAAUUGAGAUGGGUUGGUGCCCACUCUAUUUAUGUUGAUAUCUGUAACUGUCCUCAUGGUUACUUGAAUUCUCUUGAUGCAUGUCUUACAAGUUGUUGAACAUGUCAUUGCACUCAAAACUAGCUUUCUGCAAAAAUUUACCUAUAUCAUGCAUUACUGUAUCUUGAACCAAAACAUGGGUUGCUUGCGAGUACAUUCAAAGUACUCAUUGGCUUGCCACUGGUUAUUUAAUUGACCAGGCAUGGAAGAGCCGGAGUUCGAAGAAGAGUUCUUUGGUGACAAACAUGCGAACUAGGAUGUUUCACAGUCAGAAUGCCUGUAGGGUUAAGGCAGAUGGCAUGGGUUCUACUUAUCGACGAAGAUUUCCGCUGCUUGUGUUUCAUUUGAUGUUCAGCCCUUAAGGCUUUAUCGAUGUAAGACUUGACCAUAAUGGUCAUAAUUUGUGUAAGACGGUAUGUAUGGAUGUAAGACUCUUGUUAUUCAGCUUCUGUGUGUUCAGUGAGCAUUGAUCUCUGGGAUCACUGUACACGUGCAUUCGGUGAUCUCGACUUAUGAGUCGGGGUCCCCACA